Ochotona curzoniae (black-lipped pika) is the source of this 188-nucleotide small nuclear RNA. RefSeq annotates it as U2 spliceosomal RNA. NCBI's taxonomy places the organism in Eukaryota, Metazoa, Chordata, Mammalia, Lagomorpha, Ochotonidae. The transcript has a single exon. The record is from RefSeq and is a predicted model, not a curated record.
AUCGCUUCUUGGCCUUUUGGCCAAGAUCAAGUGUAGCAACAGAGAAUGUUGUCAGUAAAUCGGAGUGAAAUUUUUCUUGGAUUAUGUCCAUGUUAGGAGGAAUUCUGGUGUCUGUGCUGUACCUUGGCAUGCUAAUGUGCUAGAAGAGCCAACAAAAUUUCCAUGUCAUUUUCUUUCAUUCAUUCAUU